AUACGGAGGGUGCAAGCGUUACUCGGAAUCACUGGGCGUAAAGCGCGCGCAGGCGGUCUUUUAAGUUGGAUGUGAAAGCCUACGGCUCAACCGUAGAACUGCAUCCAAAACUAUUAGACUAGAGUGUGGGAGAGGAAGAUGGAAUUAGUUGUGUAGGGGUAAAAUCCGUAGAGAUAACUAGGAAUACCAAAAGCGAAGGCAAUCUUCUGGAACACUACUGACGCUGAGGCGCGAAAGCGUAGGGAGCAAACAUGAUUAGAAACCCUAGUAGUCC
This 274-nucleotide ribosomal RNA is filed under the name uncultured bacterium. Its description in RNAcentral is "partial 16S ribosomal RNA". It matches the Rfam family "Bacterial small subunit ribosomal RNA", at positions 523 to 796 of the family's 1533-position model. The record is from RNAcentral.